RNAcentral lists this transfer RNA (65 nucleotides) under Gastroptychus rogeri. Its description in RNAcentral is "tRNA-Thr". The record is from RNAcentral. Lineage: Eukaryota; Metazoa; Arthropoda; Malacostraca; Decapoda; Chirostylidae.
GUUUUAAUAGUUUAUAUAAAAACCUUGGUUUUGUAAAUCAAAAAUGAGUAUUUUCUCUUAAAACU